GGCGUGUUCCGGUCCCGGACUGUGCGGAGGAGCCAGACGAGGUAGUGGUGCCAAGGUGUGUGCCCCACGGUCAAGGUCAGAGCAGCUGCUUUCAGGUUCAGCCCAACAAAAGGAUGAAAGGGAGCGAGGCUGGUUCCAGGUGAGAAACUUCGGGGCCACUCCUCCGGCCAGGCUCAAGGUACUUGCUCAACGCCUCUGGGCCCACCUGCCUGCAGCCCCAGUGGCCGUGGGCUGAGGAGAACAGCCAGCAGGUACACUGCAGGACAGAGGGGAGGCCAAAGCCAUUCACUCUCUCGGAGCCCCAGCUGCUGGGAAGAUGCGUCAGCAGACUUAACCCUCCAACAGCGCCCAACACAACUGACCGCUCCUUUUCUUCUUGAAACGUUUUCUGCCUUUGGAUUCAAGACACAACCAGCCCAUGGUUUCCUCCUGUCCCUAAAGAUACUCUGCUCUCUCUCUUUUGCUGGCACAUCCUCGCCCACCCAGCCAACCACCGGGAGAGCCGCGGCACCCACCCCGGGUCCUCCUCUCUUACUGAGCUCUAACUCAAGGGGUCUUGCGCAGUCUCAGCCCUACCGCCAAUGUGUCGCUGACUCACAGAUUCAUGUCUCCAGCCCGGAGGGAGAGCCCCCAACCCUUGUACCCAAGGCCGUCGUGUCCUAAACAGACCCCCUAACGCCUCAAGCACACCUGGCCCUCUUCCUGGAUCUGCCAUCUCGGGAGGCACCAGUAGCAUCCACUUCACAAAACAGAAGCCUGGUUUUCAACCCUUCCUUUCCCUCAUGCCCCUGUUGAGUCUGUCACCUGUGCCAUCGACUUCAGUCCCUGGUUAUCACUCAAACUGACCCACUUCUAGGCACCCCCGCUGGCAUCGGCUUCACCUCUUCCCUGUGCAAUGCAACCAUGCUCGCCACUUGCCACGUGCCCACUCCUGGCCCCUCCACCCCCUCUGCCCACAGCAGCACGAGUCCUCUUUAAACACACGGAUCACACCACCUUCUGCUUCACACGCUCCAACAGCAGCGUCCCAAGGCUCUUGGGAGAAAGACGUUAACAUGGCUCCUUAUGGCCUUUCCUCCUUUGUCUCAGCCACACUGGUAGUGCCACCCACCUCCACACAGUUUUGCACAGGCUCCUGCUCUGCCCAGAAGGCCCUCACCCC
Molecule: long non-coding RNA, 1162 nt
Filed under: Sus scrofa (pig)
Lineage: Eukaryota; Metazoa; Chordata; Mammalia; Artiodactyla; Suidae
Description: lncRNA (ENSSSCG00070002142.1)
Source: RNAcentral